AGCAGAGCAGGAGGAGCCCAGCCCCAAGCUGGGCCUAUUGCUGGCCAAGGGAUCCUCUGCCUGGCAUCACGAGUGAGCACCGGGUGUGUGGUGGAGGGUUUCAAAGGCCGGGGGGCCUGGCUGGCCCCCCCGCUAGCGAGGGCCACCUUAGGGCUGGUCUACUGACCCACUGCAACAUCCACCUUAGCUCACGGGUGCUAAGUCUGUGUUGCUACUGAGGCUGAGGUUUCUCUAGGAGGUUGGAUCCUUGAAGGUUUUGUUCUGGGUUCUGCGAUGGAGGCAAAGAUGGAGCAGGAGCACCAACUGGAGCUGGUAACAGACCAGCAGCAGCAGCUGGUAAUGGAACGGAAAGCAGGAGUUGGCCACCUGCCACCCAUCCCCUCCUGACCCCAACCCCAGAAACCCAAAGCAGCACUUAGCACAGGAGGUCUCUCGUGUUGCAGUCUCAACUUCAAGCCCUGGAAUACUUUGCUUCAGCCAGCAGCAUGGGGUUGGAUACCAACAGCAGAGUCGACUUAACCUGUGACUAAGUGAACUUUAAGUGUUCUGACUCCACAGUAGAACUUGAUAAAGAAAGAUGUGAAUGGAA
Molecule: long non-coding RNA, 589 nt
Organism: Pogoniulus pusillus (Red-fronted tinkerbird)
Lineage: Eukaryota; Metazoa; Chordata; Aves; Piciformes; Lybiidae
Exons: 2
Source: RefSeq, a predicted model, not a curated record